RNAcentral lists this ribosomal RNA (991 nucleotides) under marine metagenome. Its description in RNAcentral is "bacterial SSU rRNA". It matches the Rfam family "Bacterial small subunit ribosomal RNA", at positions 273 to 1284 of the family's 1533-position model. The record is from RNAcentral.
ACUAUGAUCAAUAGCUGAUUUGAGAGGAUGAUCAGCCACAUUGGGACUGAGACACGGCCCAAACUCCUACGGGAGGCAGCAGUGGGGAAUCUUGCACAAUGGAGGAAACUCUGAUGCAGCGAUGCCGCGUGAGUGAAGAAGGCCUUUGGGUUGUAAAGCUCUUUCGUCGGGGAAGAAAAUGACUGUACCCGAAUAAGAAGGUCCGGCUAACUUCGUGCCAGCAGCCGCGGUAAUACGAAGGGACCUAGCGUAGUUCGGAAUUACUGGGCUUAAAGAGUUCGUAGGUGGUUGAAAAAGUUGGUGGUGAAAUCCCAGAGCUUAACUCUGGAACUGCCAUCAAAACUUUUCAGCUAGAGUAUGAUAGAGGAAAGCAGAAUUUCUAGUGUAGAGGUGAAAUUCGUAGAUAUUAGAAAGAAUACCAACUGCGAAGGCAGCUUUCUGGAUCAUUACUGACACUGAGGAACGAAAGCAUGGGUAGCGAAGAGGAUUAGAUACCCUCGUAGUCCAUGCCGUAAACGAUGUGUGUUAGACGUUGGAAAUUUAUUUUCAGUGUCGCAGGGAAACCGAUAAACACACCGCCUGGGGAGUACGACCGCAAGGUUAAAACUCAAAUGAAUUGACGGGGACCCGCACAAGUAGUGGAGCAUGUGGUUUAAUUCGAAGAUACGCGCAGAACCUUACCAACACUUGACAUGUUCGUCGCGACUUUAAGAGAUUAAAGUUUUCGGUUCGGCCGGACGAAACACAGGUGCUGCAUGGCUGUCGUCAGCUCGUGUCGUGAGAUGUUGGGUUAAGUCCCGCAACGAGCGCAACCCUCACUUUUAGUUGCCAUCAUUAAGUUGGGCACUCUGAAAGAACUGCCAGUGAUAAGCUGGAGGAAGGUGGGGGAUGACGUCAAGUCCUCAUGGCCCUUACGUGUUGGGCUACACACGUGCUACAAUGGUAUCUACACAGGAAGCAAAACUGCGAAGUAAGCAAAUCCCUAAAAGAU